Long non-coding RNA from Ictalurus punctatus (channel catfish), 1966 nucleotides. NCBI's taxonomy places the organism in Eukaryota, Metazoa, Chordata, Actinopteri, Siluriformes, Ictaluridae. The record is from Ensembl.
UCGGAGUCUUCACCCUGACUCAGCCACUUCCUCUGUAAGAAUGAGCAGUUUCCUGUUUGCGAGUUGGUGGUGCGGAACAGAAAUCUCCACCGAGUUGCGUUCGGGUGGAAAAUGUCACAGCGGACGCAGCCCAUAUCCUUAUCUGUAAUUGCAAGAAUACUUUGUGUCCAGAGGCGGUUUAGAGUCCUCGCUGAAAACGCUGUAUCCAUUGGAACAUGCUGUGCAGAAAUGAGAAUUAGUAUUGCAGCAUUACAAUACACACUUCCUUAUUAGUAUACUGAAUAUCAUGAUGCCAUUUGGUGUGGCCUACAGCCCUGCAUCAUUGUUCAGUCGUCAUGGAGGGGCAAUCUUCAUUACUGCUAUAGUUUACCACUAGACUCAAGAGUUGUUUUUUUUCACUGCACAUUCAAAACCAAGAUCCAAACAGGAACCGACAGGACCUUUGUCUGUUCUUGCGUUUGUUAUUUACAGUACCCUUGGGUACCCUGAUUAUUGUCGAUGAUGUUCAUGUUCUUCUUAAUCUUUUUCUGUUAUUGUUAAUGUUAUUGCUGUUGUUGAUGUUAUUGUAACCUUUGAUGAAAUUAAGGCUUAAGAUAUGGUAAAUGGUCUGCACUUAUAUAGUGCUUUUAUCCAAAGCGCUUUACACUGUGGAUCAUUCACACACUCACACACACCAAUGGUAGCAGAGCUGCCAUGCAAGGCGCUAACUUGCGGUUCAUUGUCUUGCCCAAGGACACUUCUGCAUGUGGAGUAAUGCGGGCCGGGAAUCAAACCGCCAACCCUACGAUUAGUGGACAACCCGCUCUACCACCUGAACCACAGCCGCACCUGUGUUCUAUUCCUGAAAAGUAUCGUUUACCAAAUCCACUGAUGAUCUCACUAACUCUAGUGAAUGUUUCGAUGUAGGAUGUGGAAUUUUACGAGGCGAACACAGACAAGUGGAGUGAUACGUACAGUGAAACGUCCCAGUGCGUGCACUCUUGGUGCUUAUCGCCACUCAGCCAGUCAACUGAGUGGACUGGAACGAACCGUUGUAUAAUAGUAUAUCGCUACAUACCUGGAAGUUGCAAUGAGAUGAGAUUCUCUCUGCUGCCACAAUUCAACAAACCACUCUUCUUUCAAAUCCCAUUAUUUGUUUGCGUUUCGCACAUCGUACUUUUCACUACCGUAUUUAGAGCUGUAUUUGUAUUUGUGUCAUCCUAAGCCAUCCUGCUAUUUGUGGAUUUUAGAAGAGUGUCGUAGCUUUAGAUGAGUUACAAUAAAGUUACAGGUUGCAGGUUCGACCUCCACAAUAUUGUUACAUUUAUUUGUGUGUGUGUGUGUGUGUGGAGAAGCUCUGUAUAGGAGGAGCGCAGCUGAUGGAACUGAGAGAGAACCUGCACCGCUGUGCAGCCGCUGUGUGUGGUACGAAUACCUACCAUCAGCAAACGGCUUCGCACUGACAACAACGUAAUCACGUCGCAGUUGAUCUGGCCCAGCCAGGUACUUAUUAUUCAGCUGGCUAAUACUGAAUAAUAAUUCAAUAUUUACAUGCAAGAUGUGAACCAAAACCUCAUGAUCUGAUGGCAUACUUCUGGUUAUGUUCGUUUGGGUACUUGAGGACCAGAUCUUAGCAUUAAAUCUGAUCUCUACACCUAAUAAAUGCUGCUAGUUGUGUAUGAGCUAGUAAAUUGCAGAAAAAUUGGUUUCUCAUUUUAGUUAUUGUUUGGGUUUUUUUUUCCUCGAAGUACAUGACCAUUCUGCUGUGAAUGCAGGAUGUUUUUCGGUUGUUUUAAAUGUUUUUGUCAAUAGGCUCAGGAACCUACCUCAGAAUAAAUAAGGUGCUGAAUACAGCCAUGUCUAGAGCCUAAAAACCUUAAACUUAGCCAAUAAUAAUUAAUUAUUCAAAUCUACUGGGGAACAUUCAUUCAUUCUUUUAUGUUGCCUGGUGAGCAUUUAGCAUUUGUUGAGAACGGGUUUUUUUUUU